RNAcentral lists this transfer RNA (77 nucleotides) under Nitrosomonadaceae bacterium. RNAcentral's name for it is "tRNA-Lys". It matches the Rfam family "tRNA". From Rfam's summary of the family: Transfer RNA (tRNA) molecules are approximately 80 nucleotides in length. Lineage: Bacteria; Pseudomonadati; Pseudomonadota; Betaproteobacteria; Nitrosomonadales; Nitrosomonadaceae. The record is from RNAcentral.
GCGCUUGUAGCUCAAUUGGUUAGAGCAAGAUCCUUUUAAGAUCGAGGUUGUCGGUUCGAGUCCGACCAGGCGCACCA